GCCUGGGUGGCUCAGUUGGUUGAGCGUCUGACUCUUGGUUUCAUCUCAGGUCGUGAUCUCAGGAGUCAUGGGAUCGAGCCCCACACCAGGCU
This 92-nucleotide transfer RNA is filed under the name Ailuropoda melanoleuca (giant panda). It matches the Rfam family "tRNA". From Rfam's summary of the family: Transfer RNA (tRNA) molecules are approximately 80 nucleotides in length. Their secondary structure includes four short double-helical elements and three loops (D, anti-codon, and T loops). Further hydrogen bonds mediate the characteristic L-shaped molecular structure. tRNAs have two regions of fundamental functional importance: the anti-codon, which is responsible for specific mRNA codon recognition, and the 3' end, to which the tRNAs corresponding amino acid is attached (by aminoacyl-tRNA synthetases). tRNAs cope with the degeneracy of the genetic code in two manners: having more than one tRNA (with a specific anti-codon) for a particular amino acid; and 'wobble' base-pairing, i.e. permitting non-standard base-pairing at the 3rd anti-codon position. Lineage: Eukaryota; Metazoa; Chordata; Mammalia; Carnivora; Ursidae. The record is from Rfam by way of RNAcentral.